GAUGAACGCUGGCUUCGUGCCUAAUACAUGCAAGUCGAGCGAACGGACGAGAAGCUUGCUUUUCUGAUGUUAGCGGCGGACGGGUGAGUAACACGUGGAUAACCUACCUAUAAGACUGGGAUAACUUCGGGAAACCGGAGCUAAUACCGGAUAAUAUUUUGAACCGCAUGGUUCAAAAGUGAAAGACGGUCUUGCUGUCACUUAUAGAUGGAUCCGCGCUGCAUUAGCUAGUUGGUAAGGUAACGGCUUACCAAGGCAACGAUGCAUAGCCGACCUGAGAGGGUGAUCGGCCACACUGGAACUGAGACACGGUCCAGACUCCUACGGGAGGCAGCAGUAGGGAAUCUUCCGCAAUGGGCGAAAGCCUGACGGAGCAACGCCGCGUGAGUGAUGAAGGUCUUCGGAUCGUAAAACUCUGUUAUUAGGGAAGAACAUAUGUGUAAGUAACUGUGCACAUCUUGACGGUACCUAAUCAGAAAGCCACGGCUAACUACGUGCCAGCAGCCGCGGUAAUACGUAGGUGGCAAGCGUUAUCCGGAAUUAUUGGGCGUAAAGCGCGCGUAGGCGGUUUUUUAAGUCUGAUGUGAAAGCCCACGGCUCAACCGUGGAGGGUCAUUGGAAACUGGAAAACUUGAGUGCAGAAGAGGAAAGUGGAAUUCCAUGUGUAGCGGUGAAAUGCGCAGAGAUGUGGAGGAACACCAGUGGCGAAGGCGACUUUCUGGUCUGUAACUGACGCUGAUGUGCGAAAGCGUGGGGAUCAAACAGGAUUAGAUACCCUGGUAGUCCACGCCGUAAACGAUGAGUGCUAAGUGUUAGGGGGUUUCCGCCCCUUAGUGCUGCAGCUAACGCAUUAAGCACUCCGCCUGGGGAGUACGACCGCAAGGUUGAAACUCAAAGGAAUUGACGGGGGCCCGCACAAGCGGUGGAGCAUGUGGUUUAAUUCGAAGCAACGCGAAGAACCUUACCAAAUCUUGACAUCCUUUGACAACUCUAGAGAUAGAGCCUUCCCCUUCGGGGGACAAAGUGACAGGUGGUGCAUGGUUGUCGUCAGCUCGUGUCGUGAGAUGUUGGGUUAAGUCCCGCAACGAGCGCAACCCUUAAGCUUAGUUGCCAUCAUUAAGUUGGGCACUCUAAGUUGACUGCCGGUGACAAACCGGAGGAAGGUGGGGAUGACGUCAAAUCAUCAUGCCCCUUAUGAUUUGGGCUACACACGUGCUACAAUGGACAAUACAAAGGGCAGCGAAACCGCGAGGUCAAGCAAAUCCCAUAAAGUUGUUCUCAGUUCGGAUUGUAGUCUGCAACUCGACUACAUGAAGCUGGAAUCGCUAGUAAUCGUAGAUCAGCAUGCUACGGUGAAUACGUUCCCGGGUCU
Molecule: ribosomal RNA, 1372 nt
Filed under: uncultured bacterium
Lineage: Bacteria
Description: bacterial SSU rRNA
Rfam family: Bacterial small subunit ribosomal RNA
Source: RNAcentral